UUGUAUUAUCUCAGUCUUUUUUUUUUUUUUUUUUUUGAGACAAGAUUUUGCUGACACCCAGGCUGGACUGUUGUGGUGCAAUCACGGCUUACUGCAGUCUUGACCUCCUGGGCAGAAGCAAUCCUCCCAGCUCAGCCUCCUGAGUAGCUUGGACUACAGGCAUGCACCACCUUGUCAGGUUAAUUUUUUCUAUUUUUGCAGAGAGUUUCCCUUUGCUCAUGAGGCUGUUCUUGAACUCCUGGGCUCAAGUGAUCCUCCCGCCUUGGCCUCCCUAAGUGCUGGAAUUACAGGUGUAAGCUACCAUGCCUGGCUAAUAUAUUUUUUAUUCUUAUUCUUAUUAUUAUUUUUUUUACUAGACACGAGGUCUCACUAUGUUGCCCAGGCUGGUCUCAAACCCCGGAUCUCAAGCGAUUCUCCCCCUCAGCCUCCCAAAGUGCUGGGAUUACAGGCAUGAGCCACCACGUCUGGCUUCAUCUCAGUCUUUAAACAACAAUCUUACUGGCUGAUCAUGACUGACUGGCUAUUGAGCCACGCAGACUAGAGAUUUCUCAGGAGCUGUGGCACAAGAAUCGCUUGGCCUGGGAGGCAGAAGUUGCAGUGAGCCGAGAUGGUUCCACUGCACUAGAGCCUGGGUGACAGACUGAGACUCUGUCUCAAAUAAAAAAAAAAAAAGAAGUGAACAUGCAUAAAAUUGUACACCACAAACCAAUUUUUUAAAAAGAUUUUAACGUCAGGCUAUCCCUUGACGUACUUAAAAAUCGUAAGUUUAGAAUCCUUGUCUUGUAUAGCAAAUAAAUAUUAACAUAGUGAAUUAAAUGAAAUUAAAUGUUAGAAUGUGUAUGACAGCCUAGGCAUAAGGCAUGGCCUGUUAGAAGGCUGAAGACACUUAUUCCUGAUCCUGAAAUCCGAAGUAAACUGUAAACUUUGCUUUUAGAUGGAAGAAGACUGAGGGAAAUGAGAGGAUGGAGCUUAAUUUAUAAUGAUGAAAAAAAGAAACAUACUCCUGAAUUUGAAAUCUGAUUCUAUUUGUGAAAGCACUUACAUGCUUUGAAACAUAUCUAUUUUUAUCACAGCAAUAAAAGAUUCAAACUGAAA
Molecule: long non-coding RNA, 1095 nt
Filed under: Homo sapiens (human)
Lineage: Eukaryota; Metazoa; Chordata; Mammalia; Primates; Hominidae
Description: HSALNT0188153
Source: RNAcentral